ACAGCAGCCGCCGCGGUAAUACGAAGGGUGCAAGCGUUAAUCGGAAUUACUGGGCGUAAAGCGUGCGUAGGCGGUGAGUUAAGUCUGCUGUGAAAUCCCCGGGCUCAACCUGGGAAUGGCAGUGGAUACUGGCUCGCUAGAGUGUGUCAGAGGAUGGUGGAAUUCCCGGUGUAGCGGUGAAAUGCGUAGAGAUCGGAAGGAACAUCUGUGGCGAAGGCGACUAUCUGGGCCAACACUGACACUGAGGCACGAAAGCGUGGGGAGCAAACAGGAUUAGAUACCCCGUAGUCCCUGUCUCUUAUACA
Molecule: ribosomal RNA, 305 nt
Filed under: uncultured bacterium
Lineage: Bacteria
Description: partial 16S ribosomal RNA
Rfam family: Bacterial small subunit ribosomal RNA
Source: RNAcentral